This 269-nucleotide signal recognition particle RNA is filed under the name bacterium. RNAcentral describes it as "signal recognition particle sRNA large type". It matches the Rfam family "Bacterial large signal recognition particle RNA". Rfam says of the family: The signal recognition particle (SRP) is a universally conserved ribonucleoprotein involved in the co-translational targeting of proteins to membranes. The record is from RNAcentral.
UCAUGCUAAGCGGGGCGCUACCGGUGCCUUGAACCUGAAAUCCGGUUUAGCAGGGCUGAAUCCCUAAGAUUGAGGCUACGUUUUUCUUGAGGUCUGGCUUAAGUAAGUGGCGUUGAAGGCUGGGUCCUGCGCAACUUGAAGUUACCCAACCCCGUCAGAUCCGGAAGGAAGCAGCGGUAAGUAAUCUCUCAGGUGUGCCGCAGGGGCGCCUGGCUGGAGUUGGCUGCUUAGGUAACGCUUGAGGAGGCUAGUCGAAGUUAGGUGCAUGG